Molecule: long non-coding RNA, 456 nt
Filed under: Sus scrofa (pig)
Lineage: Eukaryota; Metazoa; Chordata; Mammalia; Artiodactyla; Suidae
Description: lncRNA (ENSSSCG00065054204.1)
Source: RNAcentral
AUUCAUCCAGGUCAGAUUACCACCAGAGGGCGUCUGACAGCUCAUUCCCUGGGGAUGUCAGCUGAGCCACGGCACCUGCUGACCUGCCCCGGGGCGGCGGAAAUAGGGGAAAGGGCACUAGAGAGAGAAAGCCAAGGACGUGACCAGGUGACAAAUGGACAAGAAGAGGAAGAAAGACAGAUUCUGCCCAUGUCCACAGGCCCUGGGAUUAGGGCUGCGUGGGGUAGAUGCUCCAGGAGCAGCAAGCCAUGGGGGCUAAGAGCUCUUCCCUCUUAUUUUGGAAGCUGUCAUCAUCUGCUUUGGAGGAGCUACUUCUCCCUCCUCGGAAUCUUGAGGGAACUGUCAAUCAAGGUACUUUUCACCUUUGCCAAAGUUGAACCUGAGAUCCCAGCCAAGCCAGGACUUUGAACAUUGCGUGUAAUGACAUAGAUAGAGAAAACAGUUGAGCUGAGGUAU